RNAcentral lists this ribosomal RNA (585 nucleotides) under uncultured bacterium. Its description in RNAcentral is "bacterial SSU rRNA". It matches the Rfam family "Bacterial small subunit ribosomal RNA", at positions 338 to 916 of the family's 1533-position model. The record is from RNAcentral.
CCUACGGGAGGCAGCAGUGGGGAAUUUUGGACAAUGGGCGCAAGCCUGAUCCAGCCAUGCCGCGUGCGGGAAGAAGGCCUUCGGGUUGUAAACCGCUUUUGGCAGGAACGAAACGGCGAUUCCUAAUACGAGUCGUCAAUGACGGUACCUGCAGAAUAAGCACCGGCUAACUACGUGCCAGCAGCCGCGGUAAUACGUAGGGUGCAAGCGUUAAUCGGAAUUACUGGGCGUAAAGCGUACGCAGGCGGCUUUGCAAGACAGGUGUGAAAUCCCCGGGCCUAACCUGGUAACUGCAUUUGUGACUGCAUGGCUAGAGUCUGUCAGAGGGGGGUGGAAUUCCACGUGUAGCAGUGAAAUGCGUAGAGAUGUGGAAGAACACCGAUGGCGAAGGCAGCCCCCUGGGAUGAGACUGACGCUCAUGUACGAAAGCGUGGGGAGCAAACAGGAUUAGAUACCCUGGUAGUCCACGCCCUAAACGAUGUCUACUAGUUGUCGGAGGGUAACUCCUUCGGUAACGCAGCUAACGCGUGAAGUAGACCGCCUGGGGAGUACGGUCGCAAGAUUAAAACUUAAAGGAAUUGACGG